GGUGUGUGCUCCAGCAGGGGGGCUACAGAAUGACUCCUCUGUUUAUACACACUCCUGUUCAAUAACAGGAAUCUGAGAUCAUUGUGAUGAGGGGCAUAAAAACUGUGUCCCUAUGAACAAAUUCCCUACCUGG
Molecule: small nucleolar RNA, 133 nt
Organism: Otolemur garnettii (small-eared galago)
Lineage: Eukaryota; Metazoa; Chordata; Mammalia; Primates; Galagidae
Source: Ensembl